RNAcentral lists this long non-coding RNA (288 nucleotides) under Capsicum annuum. RNAcentral describes it as "long non-coding RNA (CANN_LNC015179)". The record is from RNAcentral. Lineage: Eukaryota; Viridiplantae; Streptophyta; Magnoliopsida; Solanales; Solanaceae.
AUAAUAUAAUUCUUAGACUUGAAGGCUAACUCAUUAUCUUUUCUUGCUUUAGUUUUUUGCAUCCUUCAUAAGAUGAGAAAAUAGGAUGAAACACCUUUGUUAUUUUUCCGUCUCAAUUUAUGUGAUAUCAUUUAAAUUUUUGUUUUAUCCACAUUCCCCUUUUGCAAGUCAAACAAUCGGUACGCUUUCCGGCUCAAACAGACGGGGGCUUUCUAUUUACUUGCAAUGCCGAUUGUUUGCCUUUAGUUUGAAAUAGAAGUAGAGGGCGCCAUGUUUGUACUCCUUACC